GGUGAAGAACGCAGCGAAAUGCGAUAAGUAAUGUGAAUUGCAGAAUUCAGUGAAUCAUCGAAUCUUUGAACGCACAUUGCGCCCGCCAGUAUUCUGGCGGGCAUGCCUGUCUGAGCGUCAUUUCAACCCUCAUGCCCCUAGGGCGUGGUGUUGGGGAUCGGCCAAAGCCCGCGAGGGACGGCCGGCCCCUAAAUCUAGUGGCGGACCCGUCGUGGCCUCCUCUGCGAAGUAGUGAUAUUCCGCAUCGGAGAGCGAUGAGCCCCUGCCGUUAAACCCCCAACUUUCCAAGGUUGACCUCAGAUCAGGUAGGAAUACCCGCUGAACUUAAGCAUAUCAAUAAGCGGAGGA
Molecule: unclassified non-coding RNA, 348 nt
Filed under: soil metagenome
Description: partial contains 5.8S ribosomal RNA, internal transcribed spacer 2, and large subunit ribosomal RNA
Rfam family: 5.8S ribosomal RNA (bases 3-120)
Source: RNAcentral